This 353-nucleotide ribosomal RNA is filed under the name uncultured bacterium. Its description in RNAcentral is "bacterial SSU rRNA". It matches the Rfam family "Bacterial small subunit ribosomal RNA", at positions 29 to 372 of the family's 1533-position model. The record is from RNAcentral.
AAUGAACGCUGGCGGCGCGCCUAAUACACGCAAGUCGAGCGAGAAGACGUAGCAAUACGUUUGUAAAGCGGCGAACGGGUGAGGAAUACAUGGGUAACCUACCCUCGAGUGGGGAAUAACUAGCCGAAAGGUUAGCUAAUACCGCGUACGCUUCUUGGACUUCGGUUCAGGGAGGAAAGCGAUGCCGAGGGUAUCGCGCUCUUGGAUGGGCUCAUGUCCUAUCAGCUUGUUGGUGAGGUAACGGCUCACCAAGGCUUCGACGGGUAGCUGGUCUGAGAGGAUGGUCAGCCACACUGGGACUGAGACACUGCCCAGACUCCUACGGGAGGCUGCAGUCGAGAAUCUUUCGCAAU